This 901-nucleotide ribosomal RNA is filed under the name uncultured Bacillota bacterium. RNAcentral's name for it is "bacterial SSU rRNA". It matches the Rfam family "Bacterial small subunit ribosomal RNA", at positions 1 to 916 of the family's 1533-position model. Lineage: Bacteria; Bacillati; Bacillota. The record is from RNAcentral.
GGAUCCAGACUUUGAUUCUGGCUCAGGACGAACGCUGGCGGCGCGCCUAACACAUGCAAGUCGAACGAGCGAGAGAGAGCUUGCUUUCUCGAGCGAGUGGCGAACGGGUGAGUAACGCGUGAGGAACCUGCCUCAAAGAGGGGGACAACAGUUGGAAACGACUGCUAAUACCGCAUAAGCCCACGACCCGGCAUCGGGUAGAGGGAAAAGGAGCAAUCCGCUUUGAGAUGGCCUCGCGUCCGAUUAGCUAGUUGGUGAGGUAACGGCCCACCAAGGCGACGAUCGGUAGCCGGACUGAGAGGUUGAACGGCCACAUUGGGACUGAGACACGGCCCAGACUCCUACGGGAGGCAGCAGUGGGGAAUAUUGCACAAUGGGGGAAACCCUGAUGCAGCGACGCCGCGUGGAGGAAGAAGGUCUUCGGAUUGUAAACUCCUGUUGUUGAGGAAGAUAAUGACGGUACUCAACAAGGAAGUGACGGCUAACUACGUGCCAGCAGCCGCGGUAAAACGUAGGUCACAAGCGUUGUCCGGAAUUACUGGGUGUAAAGGGAGCGCAGGCGGGAAGACAAGUUGGAAGUGAAAUCCAUGGGCUCAACCCAUGAACUGCUUUCAAAACUGUUUUUCUUGAGUAGUGCAGAGGUAGGCGGAAUUCCCGGUGUAGCGGUGGAAUGCGUAGAUAUCGGGAGGAACACCAGUGGCGAAGGCGGCCUACUGGGCACCAACUGACGCUGAGGCUCGAAAGUGUGGGUAGCAAACAGGAUUAGAUACCCUGGUAGUCCACACUGUAAACGAUGAUUACUAGGUGUUGGAGGAUUGACCCCUUCAGUGCCGCAGUUAACACAAUAAGUAAUCCACCUGGGGAGUACGACCGCAAGGUUGCAACUCAAAGGAAUUGACGG